RNAcentral lists this transfer RNA (77 nucleotides) under Deltaproteobacteria bacterium. Its description in RNAcentral is "tRNA-Met". It matches the Rfam family "tRNA". From Rfam's summary of the family: Transfer RNA (tRNA) molecules are approximately 80 nucleotides in length. Their secondary structure includes four short double-helical elements and three loops (D, anti-codon, and T loops). Lineage: Bacteria; Pseudomonadati; Myxococcota; Myxococcia. The record is from RNAcentral. RNAcentral also lists the same sequence under 1 other name.
GGCAAGGUAGCUCAGAUGGUUAGAGCGCUCGGUUCAUACCCGAGUUGUCGGGGGUUCAAUUCCCUCCCUUGCUACCA